RNAcentral lists this ribosomal RNA (500 nucleotides) under uncultured bacterium. RNAcentral's name for it is "partial 16S ribosomal RNA". It matches the Rfam family "Bacterial small subunit ribosomal RNA", at positions 30 to 523 of the family's 1533-position model. The record is from RNAcentral.
AUUGAACGCUGGCGGAAUGCUUUACACAUGCAAGUCGAACGGCAGCACGGACUUCGGUCUGGUGGCGAGUGGCGAACGGGUGAGUAAUAUAUCGGAACGUGCCCAGUCGUGGGGGAUAACGUAGUGAAAAUUACGCUAAUACCGCAUACGAUCUAUGGAUGAAAGCGGGGGAUCGCAAGACCUCGCGCGAUUGGAGCGGCCGAUAUCAGAUUAGGUAGUUGGUGAGGUAAAGGCUCACCAAGCCGAAGAUCUGUAGCUGGUCUGAGAGGACGACCAGACACACUGGAACUGAGACCCGGUCCAGACUCCUACGGGAGGCAGCAGUGGGGAAUUUUGGACAAUGGACGCAAGUCUGAUCCAGCCAUUCCGCGUGCAGGACGAAGGCCUUCGGGUUGUAAACUGCUUUUGUACAGAACGAAAAGGUCUCUAUUAAUACUAGGGGCUCAUGACGGUACUGUAAGAAUAAGCACCGGCUAACUACGUGCCAGCCGCCGCAGUAA